UAGGCCUGUAUAACUUUAUUAAAAUAAUCGCAUUAUGGCGCGCCUAUGCGUUGUUUUGUACUGCCUAACCAGUAAAUAGUGCCUGUUGAUAACUCUGUGAUUUUCUUAACCCGUAGUUUUCACUUACCUGAUAACUAAUUUCGCAUAAUGUAUAUUAUGUUAAAUUAAAUAUUAAAGUGACUAUGGUUACUGGUAAUAUCUUUUCUACUGUUUAUUUCUUAGGAUUAAAAUUUUU
RNAcentral lists this non-coding RNA (235 nucleotides) under uncultured Mesocricetibacter sp. Its description in RNAcentral is "Aggregatibacter sRNA JA03". The stretch from base 13 to 178 matches the Rfam family "Aggregatibacter sRNA JA03", at positions 1 to 196 of the family's 274-position model. The record is from RNAcentral. Lineage: Bacteria; Pseudomonadati; Pseudomonadota; Gammaproteobacteria; Pasteurellales; Pasteurellaceae.